UUUUUUCAGCUUGUUGCGGGACUUUUGGGUGUGGAAUCCGGUCAAGAUGCUAUAAUCAGAGGGUUAUUAUACGAGAGGCUAAAUACGACAGUAAGACCUUAUGAGAUAACAAUUGCAGAGUUCACUGAUCGCAUAUCUAAUCUAAGGAACAAGCUUGGUGGAGCAGGGUUGAAAGAUGAAGGCCUUGUGGUUCCUAAAGAACUGGGUGCCGAAGGCAAGAUCGAGGGAAAUACACUUGCAGGAGACAAAUACUCGGUUUCCUAUGAAAGGACACCUGAAGAAAUUCUUAAAAUUGUCUAUGGAACUGGAAAUGAAUCAAUUCCUGGUGGUUUUUAUCCAAAGGGAGCUAACGGUGCCAUUGCGAAAUCUUAUUUAUCUACCGCAAACUACUAAAAGUGGGAAACCUGACAGUUUUAAGUUACCACUGUCAAUUUAAGCAACUAUCUUGUGUGAUUAAUGUUGUUCUUUUGAGUCGAUAAUUAUGUCAUUUCAUAUCUUCUACGUAUCUUGUCUUUUUGACUAUUUAAUCCUACUCGUUUAUAAAUGUACAAGUUGUCAUAUAAAUAAUUCGAGAUAACCAAUAAAGUUAAGAAUCUGCAUUAAACAUAUAAAAAUUUCAUAUUCACAAUUCAACCAUUUGCGACACAAAAAUAAAAAGGGCAACCGUAAAGUUUGAUGCGCUUAAAACCAUAAUGCACUUGCAAUCAGGUACUUUUAAUUGUUGACUCAGUCAAUCAACAAGGGCUACAAAUCUGUACACAGCUAAAAGUUGAUGACUAACAAAAGGCUUUUGGCCACGUUUGCAUUCAUAUAUGAAGUAAAGAUCUUGGCAGAUUGCACAUCAAAUUGAUUUUAUGUAGUCUCAAUAAAAAAUUUUAUAUAUACCAUGAGUUUUUAUGCAUAAUUUUAUUGAACAUUUCUGUAAGAAUUUAAAGUUACAAUUUUUUUUCAAUACUAUAAUGUAGAUCUAGUAAAAAAAAAAAGUGCGGCAUUUUUCAUGUUUCUUAGACAAAUUUCAAUUUAUGAUUUUUAAUACGAUUGAAUUGAAGAAUUCUCAAAUAUAAUGUUAAGAGUCCUUUGCUAUUCGAAAUUCUUCCAUUGCUAACCAUAGCCUUUUGUAUUCUUUUAAGUUUUUCUUCUUAUUAAGUCGGUAGAUUCUUUCUCUUCUUUUUCUCUUUUUUUUACCCAAAAAACAUCAACCCUAUUUUAAUUAGAGCUAGAUUUCAUAGGUUUUUUUUUUUUAAAUUAAUUUCCCUAACCGCAUUAAGUAUGCACCACUAAGUUUCAUAUUUAUUCCCUAAUUUACGCAAAUUCAAAAGACAAAUUAUUCCAAUAUACUUGCAAAUUCAAUACCCUAAUUUUUUGAGGUGAAAAAUAUUUUGAGCUAUUAACUGCAAUUUUUUAGUUUAUUUUUCUUAAAAUAUAUAAUCAACUUAGUCGGAUUCAAACAAAAAAAAAAUUCAUUGAAACAGACUCAAUUUCGAUGUUAUGAUUAUCUAAAGUUUUAAAUACCAAAAAUUAUAUGGUUUUGUAGGUCAUGUUAAAAGCGUAUUUUUACUUUGCAUUUGGCAUGCCAAAAGUAUUUUGAGUUGUACUCCUUUGGUUGCACAAAUGCUUUUAAAGCACAAAAAUCAAAGCCGAAAGUUCAACCAAAUGGGGUCUAAUAUAUAUUUAUAUAUGUUAAUUAGGUAAAUACUAUUUGUAGCAUAUAUUAUUAAUUAAUUUAUUUUGUUAAAUAGGUCAUGAAAAGAUUGUAUUUUUCAUUGAUAAGUAAGAUAAAAGAGUUUUUCCUUUUAGAGACACAAUACAACCUAAAAAGGAAAAUAAAUUUACAGUUAUAAAUAUACAAAAAUAAACCUUGAUUUCUAGGAAGAAAAUCAUAUCCCCGUAAUUAUAAAAUAUACGGUCAUGGAUUCUCAACACUCUCCUUCAAGCUGCCUGAAAGUCGUCAUUAAUAGCCAGCUUGUUCACCAAUUUUAUCAAAUUGCUUCUUCAGUAAGCCUUUAGAGAGUACUGCUACUUGUUCAAACAUAGAAAUAUAGGACAUAACAACGAACCCAAUUUCCAAUUUCUCCUUAAUAAAGUAUGUGUUAACUUCAAGAUACUUAGUUCUAUCAUGGAGUAUUAGAUCAUGUGCUAUUGCAAUGGUGACUUUAUUAUCACAAAAAACUUCCAUGGAUAAGGGACUAGUAGCUUUUAAGUUCUUCAAGAAACUAUUUAAUCCAUAAAGCUUCACAUAUACAAUGUGCCACCAUCGUAAACUCUGCUUCAACACUAUUUCUAGCCACCAUAUUCAGUUUUUUCUAAGCCAAGUUGUAAGAUUUCCUCUAACAAAAGUACAAUACCCGAAGUUGAUCUUCUGUUUUACUUCCUUUGAAUCAUGGGCAAAGGCUCCCUUCGCUAGGGUCAUACCUACACAUGAAUGGAUGAAUUAUUGUCAUAUCUUAAAUUUGUAAUCAAAUCAAAAUGAUCAUCAUUUCUUUAAUUUACUUGCCAAAACAAUAUAUUUCAAGCCAAAAGAAAAAGAACACCCUAAUAAUUAAUUUUGACUCCAGAAGGAACCUUACGUGUAAAAAAUAUUCAAUUUCCAUUAUUUUUUUAAUUAUUUUUAUUAUUUACCUUGUAAGUAAUAUACUUGUCUCAUUUACAUAACAAUUAAGUAUUCAAGUCCAAAUCCUCAUGUUCCAUUUCUAAUAGAUAUUGUAAAUAGAGAUAUGUAUAUGUAAGCCUAUAAAUACAUGUGACAAAACACUUCAUACAUCACCAACCACUAAGAAAAAACAAUGGCAGUCACCUUCUUUGCUACAUUGAUCUGUGUUCUUGUUCUGCAAUCCUUCUUCUUAAAGAUCAACUCGAGCCCAUAUGGUUCCGAUGUGCCAAAAGGUGAUAAGGAUUUGUUAGAGUUUCCAUUGAAUCUGGAGUACUUAGAGGCUGAGUUUUUCUUGUAUGGCUCAUUAGGGUAUGGGUUGGACAAGGUUGCUCCCCAGUUGACUUUGGGAGGCCCUGCUCCUAUUGGUGCCAAAAAGGCCAAUCUUGAUCCCAUUACAAGAGAUAUUAUAGAGCAAUUUGCAUGGCAAGAAGUUGGACACUUAAGGUAUCGUAUCUGCAUUUUUCACUCUUGAAUUUUGUUUAAUUAUUUGUGUUGAAUUCAUUUGGUUUGUCUUAUCUCAUUCCUUGACUUCUUCCAUUAUUUAAUAUAAAGGGCAAUUAAAUCGACUGUCAAAGGAUUUCCAAGGCCACAAUUGGAUUUGAGUGCAGGGUCAUUUGCCAAGGUGAUUAAUAGUGCAUUUGGGAAGAACUUACAGCCUCCUUUUGACCCCUAUGCCAAUAGCAUCAACUACCUUAUUGCAUCCUAUGCAAUUCCUUAUGUGGGACUUACUGGAUAUGUGGGAGCAAGUCCCAGACUCCAAGGUGCUACUUCAAAAAGGGUAAGCUCCUAAUAUAUAACGAGGAAAGAAAUCAAUAACAUUCUUAAUUCAUAAAUGAUAUUUAAAUCAACUUAUUCUAUAAUUUUUUUCUUUUACUUGUCAAAUAAUUAUCCAAUUAUCUGUUGCAUACAGCUUGUUGCGGGGCUUUUAGGCGUGGAGUCUGGCCAAGAUGCUGUAAUCAGAGGGCUUUUAUAUGAGAAGUCAAAUCUGAAAGUGAUGCCUUAUGGGAUAACAGUUGCAGAGUUUACCAAUCGCAUCUCUGAUCUAAGGAACAAGCUUGGCAAAACAGGGUUGAAAGAUGAAGGCCUUGUGGUCCCUAAACAACUAGGUGCUGAGGGCAAGAUCCAGGGAAAUUCUCUUGCUGGUGACAAAUACUCGGUUGCCUACGAUAGAACACCUGAAGAAAUUCUUAGAAUUGUCUAUGGAAGUGGCAAUGAAGCCACACCUGGUGGUUUCUAUCCAAAGGGAGCUGAUGGUGCCAUUGCUAAAUCUUAUCUACACACUGCAAACCAUUAAUAGUGUGAAACCUGGCUGUUUUAUGUUAUCACCAUCCAUUUAAACAAUUAUGUUUUGUGUAUAAUGUUGUUUACGAUCGUGACAACACUAAACUGAGCCAAUAAUUGUGACAUUUUAUUCCAUUUAUGCAUCUUGAAUUUUGAAUUAUAAACCCUUAUUUAAUCAUAUACAAUAAGCAUCAUUAGUUCUUUUCUUGUAUGAUGUUGACUAAAAAAUCAUUUUCUAAUUAGACUCUUAUCACAGAGAGAACGGUCCAUAGAUGUACAAGUUAUCAUAUAUCUAGACUAAAAUAACCAGUAAACUUAAAAUCUGAAUAAAUAUAUAAGAAUCGUAGGUUCGUAACUCAAAUCACUCGAUUUAGCAUCAACUAUUUUCUAAUUUUAUAUAUUAUCAGUAUAGAGAAGCAAUCAAGAUUGUCAAAUCAUUUUACUCAGGUUGGGAGAAAAACCUUUCAUGGAAUUAUCUGAUGCAAUUAACUCACAGUAACGACAUGCAGAAGAGGAACUUCUACUUAGACCUGUCAAUUUCAAAAGAUUAUAAAACCAAAAAUAAUAUAGUUAAAUUAUAUCUGGAUCAAAUUGAAAUUGCAAAUAAUUUUGGUAAACAAGGUGCUUCGAGCCUGCUAGACAUGGGAAUGAGAUUCCUGUUGGUUUGUUGAUUAAAUAAUUUAUAUUUCUCUAUAUUUCUUACGUGCAUCUGUAAGUUAUUUUGAACUUUUCGAGAAAUGAUCGCGUCAUUUGCAAGAAUGAUAAUUCUUCUAAGUUAAAACUUUUGAGUAUUUCAUUAUCACUUAAAGUCAAGCAUACAGCCCGUGCAUCUUACAGUUGUACAUUUUUUAAGCAAAAAUUUUCAAAUGAAUAAUCUCAUUUCUUUUAAGCAACUUCACUACACAAGAGUCCUAUCUAAAUACCCAUUUUGGGAAUUCUACAACUAAAAUUUAAAACAAGAAAAAGAAUUUACCAGCAUAUGUGGGGGGGUUUGGAUCAUUAUUAUUAUUCUUAUGAUAUUAUUGUUACAAUAAACUUUUGACCUCAAAAAAAAAUAAUAGUAUUAUUAUAAUAAAUUUUAAACUAAUUGUUCAUGAUCGUAAUUAAAGAGUAUUUAUAGUAACCAAAUAUUAUUAUUAGUAUUAUUAUUAUUACAGCUAUUAUCACGUUAUAUCACCAUGAUCGUUAUUAUUAUUAUUAUUACUAUUAUUGUAAACUAUUACUAAUAAAUGAGCCAAUCGUUUUACGUGAAAUACAUGCUAUUUUGUAUUAUUGUCAUUUUAAUCAAAUCAAAAUGACCAUCAUUUCUCUACUUACUAAAACAAUUCAUUUCAAGACAAAAAAAGAAUAUCAUAAUAAUUAAUUUUAACUCCAAAAAGAACCUUACGUAUCCAAAAUUUCUUAUUUCUUGUUGUUCUAAUUAUUUUUAUUAUUUACCCUGCAAGUAAUAUACUUGUCUCAUAUGCAUUACAGUUAAUUAUUCGAUUCCCAAAUCCCCAUGUUCCAUUUCUAAUAGAUCUUGUACAUAGACAUAUGUAUAUGUAAACCUAUAAAUACAUGUGACAAAACACUUCAUACAACACCAACCACUAAGCAAAAACAAUGGCAGUCACCUUCUUUGCUCCAUUGAUAUGUGUUCUUGUUCUGCAAUCCUUCUUCUUAAAGAUCAGCUCAAGCCUAUAUGGUUCCGAUGUGCCAAAAGACGAUAAGGAUUUGUUAGAGUUCCCAUUGAAUCUGGAGUACUUGGAGGCUGAGUUUUUCUUGUAUGGCUCAUUAGGGUAUGGGUUGGACAAGGUUGCUCCCCAGUUGACCUUGGGAGGCCCUGCUCCUAUUGGUGCCAAAAAGGCCAAUCUUGAUCCCAUUACAAGAGAUAUUAUAGAGCAAUUUGCAUGGCAGGAAGUUGGACACCUAAGGUAUCGAAUCCGCAUUUUCCAAUCUUGAAUUUUCUUUAACUAUUUGUGUUGAAUUUAUUUGGUUUUAGUCUUAUCUCAUCCCUUGACUUGUUUCAUUAUUUAAUAUGAAGGGCAAUUAAGACGACUGUCAAAGGAUUUCCAAGGCCACAAUUGGAUUUGAGUGCAAGGUCAUUUGCCAAUGUGAUUAAUAGUGCAUUUGGGAAGAACUUACAGCCUCCUUUUGACCCCUAUGCCAAUAGCAUCAACUACCUUAUUGCAUCCUAUGCAAUUCCUUAUGUUGGACUUACUGGAUAUGUGGGAGCAAGUCCCAGACUCCAAGGUGCUACUUCAAAAAGGGUAAGCCCCUAAUAUAUAACGAGGGAAAAAAUCAAUAACAUUCCUAAUUCAUAAGUGAUAUUUAAAUCAACUUAUUCUAUAAUUUUUUCUUUUGCUUGUCAAAUAAUUAUCUAAUUAUCUGUUGCGUACAGCUUGUUGCGGGGCUUUUAGGCGUGGAGUCUGGCCAAGAUGCUGUAAUCAGAGGGCUUUUAUAUGAGAAGUCAAAUCUGAAAGUGAAGCCUUAUGGGAUAACAGUUGCAGAGUUUACUAAUCGCAUCUCUGAUCUAAGGAACAAGCUUGGCAAAGCAGGGUUGAAAGAUGAAGGCCUUGUGGUCCCUAAACAACUGGGUGCUGAGGGCAAGAUCCAGGGAAAUUCUCUCGCUGGUGACAAAUACUCGGUUGCCUAUGAUAGGACACCUGAAGAAAUUCUUAGAAUUGUCUAUGGAAGUGGCAAUGAAGCCACACCUGGUGGUUUCUAUCCAAAGGGAGCUGAUGGUGCCAUUGCUAAAUCUUAUCUACACACUGCAAACCAUUAAUAGUGUGAAACUUGGCAGUUUUAUGUUAUCACUAUCCAUUUAAACAAUUAUGUUUUGUGUAUAAUGUUGUUGUCGAUCAUGACAACACUAAACUGAGCCAAUAAUUGUGACGUUUUAUCCCAUUUAUGUAUCUUGUAGUUUGAAUUAUAAACCUUUAUUUAAUCGUAUACAAUAAGUAUCAUUAGUUUUUUUCUUGUAUGAUGUUGACUAAAAAAUCA
This 6913-nucleotide long non-coding RNA is filed under the name Carica papaya (papaya). Its description in RNAcentral is "long non-coding RNA (CPAP_LNC012037)". The record is from RNAcentral. Lineage: Eukaryota; Viridiplantae; Streptophyta; Magnoliopsida; Brassicales; Caricaceae.